GCCUAAAGCGUCCGUAGCCGGCUCUGUAAGUUUUCGGUUAAAUCCAUAUGCUCAACAUAUGGGCCGCCGGGAAUACUGCAUAGCUAGGGAGUGGGAGAGGUAGACGGUACUCCGUAGGAAGGGGUAAAAUCCUUUGAUCUAUGGAUGACCACCUGUGGCGAAGGCGGUCUACCAGAACACGUUCGACGGUGAGGGAUGAAAGCUGGGGGAGCAAACCGGAUUAGAUACCCGGGUAGUCCCAGCUGUAAACUAUGCAAACUCAGUGAUGCAUUGGCUUGUGGCCAGUGCGGUGCCGCAGAGAAGUCGUUAAGUUUGCCGCCUGGGAAGUACGUACGCAAGUAUGAAACUUAAAGGAAUUGGCGGGGGAGCACCACAAGGGGUGAAGCCUGCGGUUCAAUUGGAGUCAACGCCAGAAAUCUUACCCGGAGAGACAGCAGGAUGAAGGUCAAGCUGAAGACUUUACCAGACAAGCUGAGAAGUGGUGCAUGGCCGUCGCCAGCUCGUGCCGCGAGGUGUCCUGUUAAGUCAGGUAACGAGCGAGAUCCUUGCCUCUAGUUGCCACCAUUACUCUCAGGAGUAGUGGGGCGAAUUAGCGGGACUGCCGUAGUUAAUACGGAGGAAGGAGAGGGCCACGGCAGGUCAGUAUGCCCCGAA
This 654-nucleotide ribosomal RNA is filed under the name uncultured archaeon. RNAcentral's name for it is "bacterial SSU rRNA". It matches the Rfam family "Archaeal small subunit ribosomal RNA", at positions 508 to 1160 of the family's 1478-position model. The record is from RNAcentral.